Molecule: ribosomal RNA, 350 nt
Filed under: uncultured Anoxybacillus sp.
Lineage: Bacteria; Bacillati; Bacillota; Bacilli; Caryophanales; Anoxybacillaceae
Description: bacterial SSU rRNA
Rfam family: Bacterial small subunit ribosomal RNA
Source: RNAcentral
UGGACAGGUGGUGCAUGGUUGUCGUCAGCUCGUGUCGUGAGAUGUUGGGUUAAGUCCCGCAACGAGCGCAACCCUCGACCUUAGUUGCCAGCAUUCAGUUGGGCACUCUAAGGUGACUGCCGGCUAAAAGUCGGAGGAAGGUGGGGAUGACGUCAAAUCAUCAUGCCCCUUAUGACCUGGGCUACACACGUGCUACAAUGGGCGGUACAAAGGGUCGCGAACCCGCGAGGGGGAGCCAAUCCCAAAAAGCCGCUCUCAGUUCGGAUUGCAGGCUGCAACUCGCCUGCAUGAAGCCGGAAUCGCUAGUAAUCGCGGAUCAGCAUGCCGCGGUGAAUACGUUCCCGGGCCUU